This 348-nucleotide long non-coding RNA is filed under the name Elaeis guineensis (African oil palm). RNAcentral's name for it is "long non-coding RNA (EGUI_LNC062460)". The record is from RNAcentral. Lineage: Eukaryota; Viridiplantae; Streptophyta; Magnoliopsida; Arecales; Arecaceae.
AACCUCCCCAGCCAUCAACCUUCAAUAGCAUCAGUCGGGCUUCAACAACACCCUCCGGACUUCCACAGGAUUCCCCAGACUCCUCCAACAGACGAACCUCCCCAACGCCACCCGAAGUCCAUCACCGACCGACCCUUUGCCAGAUUCUUCAUGAAAUCAGACUUCCCCAAUAGAAGGUCCCCAUCCAAGCUUCUACAACAGAUGACUCCUGCCUGCAGCAUCAGUGCUCUAGGCACCCAACAAUAGUAGACCCAUCAGCAAUCUCGAAAAUAUCCGAGCUUCUCCUAGGAUCGACAAGAUAGAGAGCCAUUUCUCUCUAUCAGACAUCUCAACCGAACUUCAGCCAAC